AGAAAAGAUGGGGUUUCACCAUGUUGGCCAGGCUGAUCCUGAACUCCUGAUCUCGUGAUCCAACCACCUCGGCCUCCCAAAGUGCUGAGAUUACAGGUGUGAGCUACCGUACCCAGCCACCUUCACCACUCUUGUUCUGAGCCCCAAUUUUGCUGGGCUCCUUCGCUGAUUUGUGCUCCCUUCCUGGGCCCUUUUUGCUCCCUUUGCGCCCAUAUACCCCUUUCAGGUCACUAACUCUUAUCGUGACCAACCAGGCCAGGCCCUCCGUGGCUCACUCUCCUGGAGAGGCUCAUUGGAGCACCCACCACUGUGACAACAUCACCUGUUGUGCUGUCUUCGCUGGUCUCAAGCCUCUUUGAGGGCAAGGACCACGUCAUGUUUGCUCAGGCCUGAAACUUUCGUGCUUGGCUCUGAGUAGGCCCACAGUAAUGCCAGUGUGUUCGAUGGGAGAAGGAAUGAGCUGUACCUUGCUAUCCCAGCAUACCCUACCCUACCCAACUCUAGUCCUAAAUAGUGGCAGAGAUGGAUAGAUCAUAAGCAAUUCUAAAUCAAUUGUACCAGUGUGGUUGCACUACCUGCUUUUAGCAGCUGGAGAAGCACGCUGGAACUGUCCAUGGAAUGCUCCACUUUGCUAAGAUAACCAUCAAAAAGGGAAAGUGCAAAGCAGGUAUCCCUUCCAUAAAUCACUGGUUUGUCAACUCACUGUCCAGCCCUACAGUGAUUGUUUGACAAAAGCAAAAAGGUUCACAAAAGCCUGAUCAUGCUUUUUGGCAUUAUAUUAUCAGGGCCUUAAAAAAUCCUCUUCUCUCAUUAAAAUAUAAUAGUUCCUAUUAGGAGCAUCUCAGACCCAGUAGAUACCUAAUGCUUGUUUAUUGAUGGUGGUGAUGACAGCAUCGUUAGUACAGAGGUAAUUGAUUUUCACAGUGACAAGCCGGAGGCUCGUUGAUGAAUGAGCAAAUGAGGCCCUGCAAGACACGGAAAUGCCUUGUGAAUGAAAGCAGUUAUUUCAGUGCAGUUUUACUGUUAAGUGCUUUUAUUGGAUUCAGAUUUUAAAAAUGAGUAGUUCCUGGAGGGUAUACACAACUGUGUGGAACAGCAUGUGUGACUGACAACUCGCAGCACCCUUAGAGAAGCUCGGACUUCAGGAGCUCGAGCUUCCGCUGCUGACGCGGCCCUGCUCUCUGUUCUCUGAGGCAUGAUCAGGCUUUUGUGGAUCUUUUGGUUUUUGUCAAACAUUCACUGUAGGGCUGGACGGUGAGUUGACAAACCAGUGAUUUAUGGAAUGGAUACCUGCUUUGCUCUUUCCCUUUUUGAUGGUUAUCUUAGCAAAGCAGAGCAUUCCAAGGACAGCUCCAGCCUGCUUCUCCAGCUGCUAAAAGCAGGUAGUGCAACUCAGAUCCAGAUUAAAUGUCCAUUUAUUCAGUCACACUGCUUCCUGGGUGCUUUCUCUGAAUGCAAGAUUCAGUCCAAACCUCUGGGCACCCUGGUGGCUUGAAGUUCACUGUGCAUAUUUUUCACAUGUGGAAACUAAGACUCAACUCGGGGAGGUUGCAGAACUUCCAAGGUCAUGUCCAGUAUUCUUAUCUGCAUGUGCCCAGGCCCACUCCACUCCUUGCAAUAUUUUGGUCAUAUCCUGGGGAGGCAAGGCCAGCAAACCUUUUGAAAAUAUAUGGUUGAGAGAAAAAGCAGCCCAGGGCAGGGAAGGUGACUCUGCGAUUGCCACACACACAAACAGCAUCAGAAAAUCCGAAACCAGUCACAAAUAAAAUGCAGUUGAGCAAAUCUUUCUAGGAUCUUAAUUGUUUAUGCAGUAAUGGGUGGCAUUUGUCUGCUAUAAUUUGUCAAUUGAAAAAGCAAACAGUUUCAAUUCAGUAGUGGAAAACUGCAUGCAGGAACGAGUGACAGAGUAAUCGCUGGAGGAAAAUGUUAUUGGAAACCAUUAAGCAAGAAUUUAUGAGAAAAUGAAAGACAAGCUGUCCUCUCAUCCCACGCUGUUGAACUUUCCCUGGAAACUGCAAGCUGCCAAUGAGAAGCCAAGUUGAAAUGCAAGGCCAGCCAAUCAAACAGCUUAUCACGUAAAAGGCAAGGCAGUGGAAGGGGCCGCAGAAGUUCCUUGACUCACGAGGCAAGGCAUUCAGAGGCCUCGUGACACCUCCCGGGAUCUGCAGUCAUUGGGCUGCACUUGCCAAUAGCAACAUCUGGCAAAAAUAGCCAAGCAGCAGAGCGGCCUGGGCUCGGGAGCUGAGCAACCCCUGACUGGCCACAUGGAGACUGUGCUGAGCUCUGCCCAAGCCCUGUGAUCCUGGAAAACAGUAAAGUGAAGGAGCCAUCUGCGUUCUGGGGAAUGGCCCACUGCAAAAAAUACCCUUCCUCAUAGGACGUUGAGGACUCAUGAUGUCCCCUCAUUGAUGACGAGCCCAGACACAGCCCUUCCUAAUUCCAAUUCUUUGCGUCAUAAGUGAUAGACUGUUUUGUUCCCACUGGUCAAUCAGAACAACAUUCUUGCUAACCAGACUUCGGUUCAGCUCUUCUCCCUCCCCAUGUCCCUGCCCGGUGUCCUAUCCUCAUCCUGAGCCAGCACACGCCCCUCCUUGGCAGCUCCUCCUGCAGCAGGCUGACCUCAGACUCCCCCUGAUCCAUUGUCCAAAUAUAUCACCCUUUCACCCUAAGUCCUUACACCCUAUUCUUUCUAGUUUUGUUCAUUCCUCCCUGUGAAAGAUGAACCCUCUUUUCCUAACCCCAGACCUGCUUGCAGACCUGCUAUGAUGGCCAAGUGUCCCCGCUACUGCAAGAGUCCCUUCUCUCCCUUGCGAUAUCUUUUAAAUAAAAUCCCUCCUUACCAA
Molecule: long non-coding RNA, 2843 nt
Organism: Macaca mulatta (Rhesus monkey)
Lineage: Eukaryota; Metazoa; Chordata; Mammalia; Primates; Cercopithecidae
Source: RefSeq, a predicted model, not a curated record